This 654-nucleotide non-coding RNA is filed under the name Schistocephalus solidus. RNAcentral describes it as "Eukaryotic large subunit ribosomal RNA". It matches the Rfam family "Eukaryotic large subunit ribosomal RNA", at positions 2623 to 3399 of the family's 3401-position model. The record is from Rfam by way of RNAcentral. Lineage: Eukaryota; Metazoa; Platyhelminthes; Cestoda; Diphyllobothriidea; Diphyllobothriidae.
CACCAGUUUCGGGAAUCUAAAGUCCUUACCACACCACCUCUGCUACCUUAUUAGAGUUACCACAGAGAUAAAUGACUUGCAACGGCAAAGUGUUCAUGGCAAUGUCGCGUUUCGAUCUUUCGAUGUCGGCUCUUUCUAGCACUGUCAAGCAGAAUCCACCAACUGUUGGAUAAUUUACCCACUAUGAGGCAACGUGAGUCGGAUCGGGAUCUUUGCGAGACAGGUUUGUUUUGCCCUAGUGACUGUCAAACUGUGUAACAGGGAAUCACAAUCUGGUAGUCAUAAGGGUACAAGCAGCCAACUGUGCAAAGCUACCACUUGAGGGGGUAAUACUGAACUCCUCUAAGUCUGAAUACCAUCCAGGGAUACGCAACGAUACAGUUUGAUAUGGCACGUGGUUGGGCAGAUGUAGUACCUUCUGGUCAGGUAUCAUUCGGAUGGGGCCAGCGUGCCACAUAGAACUUGGUCGAUCUGGUAGUGCUAAGUCAAAUCGGUGACCAUAACCACAUACACUAGGUUAUGGUGUUGUACAAAUCGACACGAUAUCCAAUUGUGAUAUUAACGUGAGAACACUAAACCAUUUGUGGACGGGGCUAUGUGAGUAUUCGAGCGGCUGUCGCACUGUGAGAGAAUGAGUCCUUUUUCCUACCCCAC